UACGGAGGGAGCUAGCGUUGUUCGGAAUUACUGGGCGUAAAGCGCGCGUAGGCGGCUUUGUAAGUUAGAGGUGAAAGCCCGGAGCUCAACUCCGGAACUGCCUUUAAAACUGCAUCGCUUGAAUCCAGGAGAGGUGAGUGGAAUUCCGAGUGUAGAGGUGAAAUUCGUAGAUAUUCGGAAGAACACCAGUGGCGAAGGCGGCUCACUGGACUGGUAUUGACGCUGAGGUGCGAAAGCGUGGGGAGCAAACAGA
This 253-nucleotide ribosomal RNA is filed under the name uncultured bacterium. Its description in RNAcentral is "partial 16S ribosomal RNA". It matches the Rfam family "Bacterial small subunit ribosomal RNA", at positions 524 to 776 of the family's 1533-position model. The record is from RNAcentral.